RNAcentral lists this ribosomal RNA (234 nucleotides) under uncultured bacterium. RNAcentral's name for it is "partial 16S ribosomal RNA". It matches the Rfam family "Bacterial small subunit ribosomal RNA", at positions 524 to 757 of the family's 1533-position model. The record is from RNAcentral.
UACGGGGGGGACAAGCGUUGUUCGGAUUUACUGGGCGUAAAGGGCGCGUAGGCGGCCACCGCAAGUCGACUGUGAAAUCUCCGGGCUUAACCCGGAAAGGUCAGCCGAUACUGCGGGGCUAGAGUGCAGAAGGGGCAACUGGAAUUCUCGGUGUAGCGGUGAAAUGCGUAGAUAUCGAGAGGAACACCUGCGGCGAAGGCGGCAUCCUGGACUGGUACUGACGUCAUGAGCGAA